This 74-nucleotide transfer RNA is filed under the name bacterium. RNAcentral describes it as "tRNA-Ile". It matches the Rfam family "tRNA". Rfam says of the family: Transfer RNA (tRNA) molecules are approximately 80 nucleotides in length. The record is from RNAcentral. RNAcentral also lists the same sequence under 4 other names.
GGGCCUCUAGCUCAAUCGGUUAGAGCAGCCGACUCAUAAUCGGUUGGUUCCCGGUUCAAGUCCGGGGAGGCCCA